CAUUGCCAACACAAACAAGGUUGCAACAUCUCCCUCCAGUCUGUCUUCCUCUGCUCUGCUCUAAAUGUCAAGCAGCUACAUAGCACUGCUCACUUGCUUAACUGGGCAAAAUACCUGCUGUGGCAGCCCUGUGCCUUGACUGCCUCCGGGAGAAAGUUUCUUGGGAAUGGUAGGUGACAGAACCUGCAAGUCGGUCUUAGUCACGUUGACACCAGAUACCAAGAGUCUUGCGCAGGUUGCUGAAACAAGAAGCAUGUCCAGCCUUCAGGGCUAAUAAGAGCACGUUGUCCUUGGUGGCAGGAGGGAGCACCCUGCUUUAUCUAUGCAUUCCCUGGCAAGCAGGAGUGGUGGAGAAAGAGACAUGUCUCACUGCCCAGUCCCUGGCAAGCCAAAUCAUUCUACAAUCUCUGAAACUGAAGACACAAAAUCACCAGUGGAACAGUGCUGAUUGGGUCAGAGGUGCAAAGAUUUCAGCUGUCCAUUUCAAGAGCCAUCCUCCAGCUCACAGCUGGUACAAAUGGGUGUGACUCAUUGCACAGCCAGAGGUUAUAAUGAAGUAUCCCACUCAUCCUUUAGCUCACCCUUUGUUCAAGACAAUGCAGAUUGCAGAAGGUUUCUGAGGAGGAGUAUCUGGGAUAAGUUGCUGGGAAGAAGGAAGAAAGACCACAGUUCUAUUGGAAAGAAUGUCUUGAUGCUGAUUAUGAAAAUGAUGUGGAAGUCAUAGGCUGAAUUAAAUAUUUUUCCUUGGUGGAAAAUUGAUGGGAAAGCUUCCUGGUGUCAACAGCUCAUGUGAAACAGAGGAAGAGAUCCUUUUAUCACAGAAGAAGAGUGUCAAAAUCCAGAGCUAUUCUGAAUCAAUUUGCUCUUUUAAUUGUCUUGUGCAGACGUCUGUCUCUGCAGCAGAAAUGCUGAGCUCAUGAUUCAUGAAAACCAAGCACAUAAACUUGAGGAGAUACAAACAAAAUUUGUUCAUAACAGAAGGAGUUACAACGCCACACACACCACAUGUCCUGGCAACUCAUUCCCCCCAGGGGGAAGGAUGCAUGUCCUAUGUCCAGUCUGAGUACCCUGGGGCAGUGACAGGCAGGGGCAGAACUAUUGGGGUACUUGGCUUUUUUAAAGCUGCAACAUGGAGCUGUGGCAAUGCCAAAAAGUGUCCCUGGUCUGCUCUGUCUUAUUGCUGGGGGGCAGGAACUGUGGCUCAAAGGCUGUCCGCUGGCAACACAGAAAACUACACCAAGAGCACUGGUUCAGCUCUGCCGUAUCCAAUUUCUGUCAAGUGUAGAAUAAUAGCUAUCCAGCGAGCUGGGACAUGCUCCACCAGCAUCAAUAGGGCUGUGCUUCAGAGCAUCCCUCGAGGUAGCAAAGAAUUAUCCCCAUUUUAUAAAUGAGGUAACUCAGGCACAGGGAUUAAAGCCAGAAUGUUCCAAGCUGGCUGCCUACUGCUCGGUACCUACACCCAUAUUUACGCAACUCGUGGCCUGAUUUUCAGAAGGGCAGGGCAAUGAAAAUUUUGGCCUGAGGGGUUUGUUCACACACAGUUUACUGGUAACAACGCCCAGGAUGGAAGCCUGGUCUCUGCUACCUGUCUUACACCUUAACCACUGAAAACAUCCUUUCUACCACUAGCCAAGAGUUGGUGGAGGCUCCUGAGUGUCCCCAUUCGCCAUGCAGAGGUUCAGAGUUUGCAAUGCAGACUGGCUGCCUACGUGCUCUCAGCUAGAGGCUUUUAAAGAGCAAUAGCAAGAGUAAAACUGGUGAGAUUUCUUUGCUUCCUUCUCAGCUCUUCAGAGCCCAGGCAGCUUUGCUUGACUUGCAGUGCUUUGCUAAAACAGCAUGUCUGGUGUGUAAACCUCUGUUCUGCCUCACACAUGGCAUCAUCUUUCACCUCUGUCCCUUCACCAUGUCCUGCUCAGGACACCUCAGCCUGGCAGAGCACAGAUCCAGUGCAGAACCAGUAAGAGAAGAGAGAUAACUGGCCAGAUGGACAUCUGAACUGCUCAAAAGCACAAGCACCAACAGGAGCAAGUUAAUCCCAGUGCCCCCUCACCUCUCCUCUGCACUCUCUUCCUGGUCUUUCACUGAGCCUCAGAAAUAGCCCUGAUUUAUUGGAAACUCUUGAGAAGCAAGAUAAUAGAGUAAAAAACAUACUCCCAUACUAUCAACUUGCAAAACCUAGGAGGCAGAGCACUUGCUGGCUGGCUACAAUAGAGCUUUGCAAGUGUCCCUACUAAAAUCAUCCCUGCUAGGGGCUAAUGUGAUGCUUGUCUUAGCUUGUUAGAGAGCCUUGCUGUCUUUAGACACGUACUUGAAAAACAACGCUGGUGGUUGGUUGCUACCUGAGGGAAGAAGGACAAAGGAUCUCGGCUGUCUCUGUGGAAUGGUCACUGGUCAGGUCACCUCCAGCCUGACCUGCAAUACCAAGUGCAUGCUGCAAGUCCAUUGCUGUCAGCCCGUGUGCUUUGUCUCAUCUACAGAGCCCCAGCCACCUCUGACCUCUUCUUUCCCUCCCUUCAGGCCAUGUCCUGCUCACGAGGCUCCUGCUCAGCUGCUCUGCAGCUUCCCCCCACCCGGAGGGAGGACAGGCAAGAGGAGGUGACAACCUUCAGCAAAGGUUAAGGCUGGAAAAGAAGGAAGUGUCAGCUCAAUCAGGUCAGCUCAGCCAACCAACUGCUGCUGUAAUCCCUCUGCCUCAGGUUCCUGUGCUGUUCUGUUCGUGCUCUGAAUACUACUGUACGAGCAGCAGCCUAGUCCCCAUGGUACUGUCAUCCUGCAGCUUCCAGACAGGGAGAUGGGGAAAAGGGGUAAAGAGGAAGCAGCUGAUCAUAAGAAUCUCCCAGAACUGUUUCCAGAUCCUUCUUUUUGCAGUGUGUUUUGGGAGCGUGGACUUUGAGAUGGACUUUACUCCUACUGAAGUUCAGAAGGCCAGACUUUGCAGCUUCUGAUUUCUCCAGAAGACAGCUGAGAGCUAGAUCUGAAUCAAUGCCUAGGCUGGAAUCAGUUCCUUCUGCCCAGGUCAGAGAUGCCUCUUUCGGAUUGGGAGCAACUGAGUAUCACCAAUCUGUCAGCAACCAGGAGGAAGCUGGGGAACAAAUGCCUCCGAUUCAAUAAUACUUGGUGCUGCAUUUUAUAUGGCAGCCAGUGCAUUAUUCUGUGGUGAAAACAAACCCUAUUCUUCUCUGCCAGAUAAACACUCUUUAUCCUAUAAAGAGCAGCAUUUCUGACUGUUCAGCAGCAGCCAAACUCACGAUGGGAAAAAUAACAGGUGUUUGUAAGACACUCCCUGUUUAUUCACAGUGCUUAAAAUAAUUGCUUUAAAAAAAUCCAACAGAGAUUUUAAUUUUCUAUGCUCCCACACUUAAAAAAACAAAAACAAAAAAAGCCCUAAGCUUGGCUCAUAGUAGUUGAAGGCAAUUCAUUAUGAAAGGGGUGUACUUUCUGUUGUGGUAGCAAAGAAACCUGCUUAUGAAAGCUCCUGAGGAGCAGAAUAGUAAAGCAAAUUCCUGCCUAGAACCAACACUUCCCUGUGCUUUUCAUCAAGCUCUCCAGGUGGAAGCUUUUAUUAUCAAAACAUGUGAUUUUUUUUGUCAAAACGGGAUGAGCAGGGAUUAAGCUCCUCCAGUUGGUGCCCAUCAUUGACCAUCUCCAACACUGCCUUUUAUAAGGCAACGAUGGCCUUGGGCUGGCUUAUGCCCUUCCCUCUUGUUCUGGUGGUGGAACAGGAGAUAAGUGCACUGCUCCAGGGGGAAAAGUAUGUCUCAGAGGCACCAACCUUUCUUCAAUCACUGCUUGCUUCUCCGGGAAAUAACUGGCAAUGGAUCUUGAUCAAUAGACGGCUUUCCAGCACAAUGGGCUGACACACGGUGCUGGAGGAAGAGGACAGAGACUCCCUGUCUCCAUCCACUCUCCCCAUGCUUGCUUACAGCACAGAUGAGGGACAUACCUGAGCCGCCCAGAGGGUGAGGGGACGCUCAGUGCGUGGCUGCUGCCAGAAUUUGGUCCCUGUGGUGGUGAAUAGGCCAUGGAUGAAGUCCCUGCAGGAGCCACACAAGGGAAUGCAGCGUCAUUCCCGUGGGCUACAAGCUUAAUGAGACAACAAUCGUGGUGGUCCUCUGUCCUCAGGACUUUCCCUUCCUGUGGGGUAUGCCUCUCCUUGAGUCUGGCCCCCUGCAAGCUGUUGGGAUAAGUCACAGAUGCUCCGUAGCUCCCUGGGAGCCUGGAAAGAAUAGGAGCAAUAGGAGCCCACCUAGCAGCACCCCAGUGCUGUCCCAACACCCAGGUGCUGCUCCUGGUGGCUCCUGGACUGCCAUCCAUCUCACAGGUGGAUGUAGACACAGCCUAACUCUUCCCUCCAACACAGGACUGAGACACCCUGAUGCUGGCAGUAAAACACAGCCACAUUUUAGAUUUUACUGUUCCCACAAAGGUGCAGGAAGGGUUACACACCCAGACCGUCUCCCUGGGAGGGCUCACCUGUCUCUAAGCAGCGGACAUAGAGACAGGCAGAUGGGCUUUGUACAGACGAGGGGCUGAGCAGAGCUUGCAGCAGGGACAGGGCUCCCAGCGCGGUGGCUCUCAUCUGUGCCACGGCAGCGUUCCCAGCUGGGACCCGGGGCACCGCCGGGCUUGUCACACACAGCAGCCUCUGGCCUGAGCAAAAGAGACAGAUGAGAGCCAGAGAGAGAAACAGAGGCACAGGGGACAGCAGCAAUUUCCCGGGGGCCGGGCAAGAGAGUGGCGUGGGCCGGGGGGACUCUGCAAGGUGCCACUGCCACUCGGGCUGCGACAGCGACCUGUCCAGCCGCACAGGGGCUCCUCCAGCAGCGACUGGGAUGAAGCAGAGGGCAGCUCCCGAAAGGGCAUCGCCACAGGCACAGAGGAGGAGAUGAAAGAAGGCGGCUGCAGUGCGAAGCGGGGCAAGAUGAAAGGGUUCAGAGGCCGGAGGAGCAGAGACGGCGGUGACUCAAAAAGCAGAGCCAGAGGCAGCGGCAGCCGCCGCGCACUGAGCACGGAGCGGCCCCGGCGCAGACACAAAGGAGCGCUGCAGCAAAGCGCGGGGUCCGAGAGCAGCCCUGAGAUCAAACCCAUCCCCAGCCUAGCCAGACUGCAAGUGUCUGAGCAAUAAAGGAUCUCACACUGCUCCGUGCCGGCAGCUCGAGGCCUGCGGGGCGAGGCAGGGCUUUAUGCACACAAAUGAAGUACAACCAAGUCCUCUGCAGCAGCUGCAAUGGCCUGGGCAAAAAGCACAGGGAGGGGAGGAAUAGAAUAGAAUAGAAUAGAAUAGAAUAGAAUAGAAUAGAAUAGAAUAGAAUAGAAUAGAAUAGAAUAGAAUAGAAUAGAAUAGAAUAGAAUAGAAUAGAAUAGAAUAGUUAAGGUUGGAGUUCAACCAUUAACCUGACACAGCCACUAAAGCACGUCUCUGAGCACCACAUGUAUGCAUUUUCUGAUCACUUUGCAGGACAGUGAUUCCAUUACUCCCCUGGGCAGCCUGUUUCAAUGUUUGACAAUCCUUCCAGUGAAGAAACCUUUCUUGCUAUCCAAUCCAAACGUCCCCUCGUGCAACUUGGAGCCAUUUCCUCUUGACCAAUCAUCUGUCUGUCACCUGGGAGAAAAGAUUGACCCCCCCCCCACCUGUCCACAACAUCCAGUAGUUGUAGGAAGCAGUAAGGUUCCCCCAAGCUUCCUUUCCUUCAGACUAAACAACCCCAGCACCAUCAGCUGCUCCUCCUUAGACUCGUACUCCAGUAAGACAAGUGCUUCUCUAAUCAACAAGAAGAAGGAAGUGCCCUUUCUUAGGCAGGGUCUUACAGAAAAAAUCAAGAAGCAAAGCUUGUACCUUUGCUUUGAUACCAGUUAGGCACCAAAACCCAUUAAACCUUAUUCAAGAUGGUAAAAACCAAAAGUGGCAUUUCCAAGGCACCCAAUGUCUUUCAGCCCUGGAUCUAUCUGUCAGCAUGCCCCUGGGGCAGAUCUACGUGCCUGACUCUCCUUUGCCAGGCAGGCAGUCACCGACCCUGUGCAGCAUUUCAUCUCCACUGGAGCGAUACUGGUGACUCAGCACUUCCCCUGCAAGGCACUGCGAGGGCUCUGCUCCAGCGAGGGGAUUAUAGCAACAACCCAAGUGUAAUAAUGGUGUGGCUGAGCAGCAGGGAUUUAUGAGCAGGCAAAGAAAGUGAGAAUUAUAGGUGUCCAGUCCCUAUGACAGAACCACCAUAUAUUUCCUCCAACAAAGCGUGUGACAACAGCUCCAUAAAUUCACAUAGUAACAGAAGUGAGUGCCAGCUCAACAUUGCAGCUAUUUAAGGAGCCAAGUAGCACUCUGCUUAUUGCAGAAGUUCACAGUUAGUUAAAAAUAAGCAUUAAAAAAGUCACUUUUGGGCCCUGGCUGAAUAAGUCUUUUUAUUCAUGAUGCCCAGCAUUGCAUUCUGCCUCUUCUCCUUUUAUGCCUACACAGACUCUCUUUGGCAGAAUUUCAUGUUAGGUACUGUCAGCUUUCUUCUGACGGAGAUUAACUUAGGAUGUGCCAUAAACAAUUGUAAAACUUAUCUGUGACUAUGAAAUACUUGAUCCUUUUCAAUACCAGCAGAUCUGAAAUGUGCUUUAAAAAUCCUUUAGCUCCAGCCCAUUAAAUAACUAGGGAGAACUUCCCUGAGAUGUAAUUGCCGAAGAGAAUAACCCCAAUAUCCACAACAUGCUGAAUAGGGGUUUUUUUAAUGCUGUCUCAUGAUCAGAUUAUUUGCAGUACCUGUCAACUAAUGUGCUGUUUUUAUUGCUAAUUUAACACUUCUUCCUAAAGGGAGGAGGGGGAGAGGGUGAAAACAACUCUUCACAGUGAACUGGAAAUCAAAAAAUAGCUGUGUGUUUUGUUGUCACUUCUGCUACUCUCUUUUCUGACAUAUAAAGAGAAGCUCACUUUAAUAUGACUAACUCCCCUUUAAACAUGAGAAAUAUCAAGUUUCUCUGAAUCCCAUGGCUUUUAUUCUUUCUUCUUGAAGCUUUAGGAAAAAUUUGAAAGAGACAUCUCAGCUAGAAAGAAAAGUUGGAACUUUCUUAGGGUAAGAGUUAACAUCAGCAGUGAUUGGAAUGUAAUUUUCCUAUAAGAAAAAAUUUGGCAUCUCAGUGAAAAACUGAAAGAUAGGAAAUGGAAAUUAAGGCUUUCUGUCUGUGAAGCUGGAGCUCUAGGGCCCCAUUCUCCCCCAGAGCCUGCUGUCCUGCUCAGACUUGGUUUCCCAUGCAGCACCUCACACUACUGCCCAUUAAUCCCCUUUUCCUGGGAGCCUUUCCUGAAGUCAGGACAACAGGUGGGAAACCUGUCCUUGGAGCCUCAUGAGGACUUGGUGUGUGUGCACUAAAAAUUCGCCGAGACAUAUCCCACGACAUUUUCCCAGGGUCAAAAUUAUUCAUAUUAGCAAAGAGAGAGGAGAUUCUUGUUUGGUUGGUUUAAUAAGAAGGUGAUGUUUUGUACAGAAAUGACAUAACUUUGGAGGAAAAAAAAAAUAAAGUUACUCAAGAGCUAGUUUAAAAGAAAAGUGUUGAAUAGAAAAUUUUCAGCCAGCCCCACGGAGAUCCCUUCUUUAUCUCCAGGUUUGGAAGAGCUGCUGCCCUGCUCUCUGUGGUGGCUGGUGUCACGUUGCACGCUCCUCCAAGAGCAGCAGAUUGCUUAUGCAUUAGUUCUUUUGCAUAAUAACAGCAGUUAUAGUGGGCUUGGGUGUUUGAGGGGUUUUUUUUACACACAUUGUUUGCUGCUAACAAACUCAGGAAGGAAAUUUACAGUCUUGAAUGGGGAGUGAGGUCUGCGAGAGGUCCCCAGCAGGACUGAGGGGCUGAACCUUGCUGUGACUCAGCCAGCACAGGAAACGUUUGUUCUGAGCAGCCCCAUCUCCUUUCCCCCUCUGCUCCAAGCACAAGGUUUAUAAACAGGUCAUGGUAACUUCAUUUAAUUUUGCUUUUGGUUUUUUUUUUUCAUUCUUUUUCUUGGAGUGUUUCAUUGCUUUCUGUGUACAAGGUUAUUUACUAGAAAUAAAUGACAUUAAAUGGACAGUGAUUUCUGCUUGAGCAGAAAAUCUUGGGAAGAGGAUCCUCAGCUUUUGUGGUAGAGCAUUUGCUGUUCUUGGUUGGAUGCUGUCAUACUGUUUAUGCUGAAUUAAAUGCCCUUGUUCUCUACCUCUGCUCACACCUUGGAGACCAAAUAUUGCACACAAAAUUGGAGAGCUCCACAUGAGAGAGCAGGGCUCAGACAGGAGGGUGCAGCAAAUAUUGAGGACAGAGAGAAAAACCAUAAAUAAAAGAUCAACAUGGGGUUUCAUGCAGAGA
Haemorhous mexicanus (house finch) is the source of this 8313-nucleotide long non-coding RNA. RefSeq lists it as uncharacterized. NCBI's taxonomy places the organism in Eukaryota, Metazoa, Chordata, Aves, Passeriformes, Fringillidae. The record is from RefSeq and is a predicted model, not a curated record. The transcript has 5 exons.